AUGCAAUAUCAGUAUAUUACACUAGGACAGUUCUUUGUUUUUGCUGAAGUUUGCCGUUUCUUCUUGUUACUGAUGUGCUGCUUCCUUUGUGCUGACUGCCAAGAAAAUUUUGGACUGCUGCCCUAUUUUCCUCUGGAGGCUGAUGUAGUCUUCAAAGUAAAUCGAUUCUGGAUGUCUCUACCCCUUCUCCAGUCCCCCAAUUGAAUAUCCUUGUAAUAAAGAAAAGAGAAGCUACA
RNAcentral lists this long non-coding RNA (236 nucleotides) under Phascolarctos cinereus (koala). RNAcentral's name for it is "lncRNA (ENSPCIG00000000751.2)". Lineage: Eukaryota; Metazoa; Chordata; Mammalia; Diprotodontia; Phascolarctidae. The record is from RNAcentral.